AUUAAUGAGGACCAGCCCUAACGGGUGGUUGGAUUUUAUCCCAACAGCAGUCAGAAGCUCCUAAUGGGUUCCUCUUAGCUGCACAAUGGGUCAGGAAAGGAAAGAAAUCAAUGGUGUUGUCAGUGGAAGAAAAGCAGGCUGUCCUUCCUGGUUCCUGACGAAGAGCAAGGGAAAACAGGAAGUUAGCCUGCAGAGUUGCAUUGGCAGGAAGUCCUGGUCUGACAAGUCAUUCCGCCUUUGCUCUGGGCCACGGUCUUACUACCUUGAAACCGAUGCUUCUCCAUAGCCUGAUCAGCAGAUCGGAAGAGUAAGAGAGGCAGAUCCUUCCUCUUCUACCACCAGAGCUCCGUCAGUGGAAAAUGUGUUCCAGGCCUCCGGGUUUGUCCCUUAGCAACAGUGCCCAUGUACUUGCCUCCCGGGAACCAGCAUAACAGCCCCCUUGAACACCUGCCCUCCACUGGAAGACUAAGAGAAUCAUUUCUUUAAGCUGGAGGAGAUCUUGGAGAUCAUCUGACGGAAGAACCGGGAGAGCCGCAGUGACUUCCAUGACAUCAGAGAGCUAUUAUAGCUGCAAAGCCAGCAUAAGAACCUUACUCUCCCAUCUCUUGAUGCCACCUCCAUGGCUUCUCUGUGUCUAGCCCAGGGGCAGCAGGUACAAUUGGCUUCCCAAAGAAGGUUUUCAAAAAUUUCACGUAUUAGCAUUUGAACUCCAGGCCACUCUAAAAGGUAAUGUUUAAACCCACCUGGUGCCUUUAUUUCCCAGGUGGAAAUAAUUUGAAUGCUUCCUUGUCUUGACUCAUCUUUAUCCAUGCAUGUACAUGAUUUUUACCUCGUGUAAUCGGUACACACGCUUCUCAAGCUGCUUGAGUUUCAUUUGAAUGAUCACGUGUAAACAUUUUUCCAGUUUUCUGGGGCAGUGCUGCGAUAAUGAAAACGUUCAAUACCUGCAUUUUGACGGUAGCCACUAGCCACAUGUGGCUCUUGAGCACUUGAACAACUGAGGAACUGAAUUUAUCUUGUUUAGUUUUAAGUAAUUCAAAUGCAAAUUUAAAUAGCCACUUGUGGCUAGUGACUCCAGUAUUGGCUAGCAUAAUUCUAAAGAGUCAUCAUACACGUUUCUUACAAUGGAUGCAUAUUAUUGUAUCGAUAUCUUGGUUUAUUUUACCGUUUCUCUGUCCUCGAACCUUCAAAAGGCUUUUUGUUUCUGCUAUUGCAGCAAAUAUAGCAUUAUGUACAGUUACACAUA
Equus quagga is the source of this 1246-nucleotide long non-coding RNA. RefSeq lists it as uncharacterized. The transcript is spliced from 2 exons. Lineage: Eukaryota; Metazoa; Chordata; Mammalia; Perissodactyla; Equidae. The record is from RefSeq and is a predicted model, not a curated record.